This 483-nucleotide ribosomal RNA is filed under the name uncultured bacterium. RNAcentral's name for it is "partial 16S ribosomal RNA". It matches the Rfam family "Bacterial small subunit ribosomal RNA", at positions 29 to 507 of the family's 1533-position model. The record is from RNAcentral.
AUUGAACGCUGGCGGCAUGCUUUACACAUGCAAGUCGAACGGCAGCGCGGGCUUCGGCCUGGCGGCGAGUGGCGAACGGGUGAGUAAUACAUCGGAACGUGCCCAGUAGUGGGGGAUAGCUCGGCGAAAGCCGGAUUAAUACCGCAUACGACCUGAGGGUGAAAGCGGGGGAUCUUCGGACCUCGCGCUAUUGGAGCGGCCGAUGGCAGAUUAGCUAGUUGGUGGGGUAAAGGCCUACCAAGGCGACGAUCUGUAGCUGGUCUGAGAGGACGACCAGCCACACUGGGACUGAGACACGGCCCAGACUCCUACGGGAGGCAGCAGUGGGGAAUUUGGGACAAUGGGCGAAAGCCUGAUCCAGCAAUGCGGCGUGUGUGAUGAAGGCCUUCGGGUUGUAAGCACUUUUGGCGGGAACGAAAAGGACUGUGCCAAUACCACGGUUCGAUGACGGUACCCGCAGAAUAAGCACCGGCUAACUACGUG